RNAcentral lists this ribosomal RNA (458 nucleotides) under uncultured bacterium. Its description in RNAcentral is "partial 16S ribosomal RNA". It matches the Rfam family "Bacterial small subunit ribosomal RNA", at positions 338 to 795 of the family's 1533-position model. The record is from RNAcentral.
CCUACGGGAGGCAGCAGUGAGGAAUAUUGGUCAAUGGGCGAGAGCCUGAACCAGCCAAGUCGCGUGAGGGAGUACUGCCCUAUGGGUUGUAAACCUCUUUUGUCGGGGAGCAAAAGCCGGACGUGUCCGGCUGUGAGAGUACCCGAAGAACAAGCAUCGGCUAACUCCGUGCCAGCAGCCGCGGUAAUACGGAGGAUGCGAGCGUUAUCCGGAUUUAUUGGGUUUAAGGGGUGCGAAGGCGGAUUUUUAAGUCAGCGGUAAAAUCGUGGGGCUCAACCCCAUCCAGCCGUUGAAACUGGGGAUCUAGAGUGUGCGAGAGGUAUGCGGAAGGCGUGGUGUAGCGGUGAAAUGCAUAGAUAUCACGCAGAACCCCGAUUGCGAAGGCAGCAUACCGGUGCACAACUGACGCUCAGGCACGAAAGCGUGGGUAUCGAACAGGAUUAGAUACCCCUGUAGUC